ACAAAUCCUGAAUUGUUGUGCAUGGGUGUAUGAGUAUCACUUGAACAAGGAAUGUGUUUAUUCAUUCAUUUCUGUUCACUUUGAUCAUCAUGCACUCUUCAUCACAACAAUACACACGUUCCGUGUGCAUUCAUUUGUGCAUGAUAACACAUUUCUACGAAUCAUCUGAUUGUCACAUAAUCUAAUUCAUAAA
RNAcentral lists this unclassified non-coding RNA (193 nucleotides) under uncultured fungus. RNAcentral's name for it is "sequence contains ITS1". Lineage: Eukaryota; Fungi. The record is from RNAcentral.